Molecule: non-coding RNA, 116 nt
Filed under: Kingella kingae
Lineage: Bacteria; Pseudomonadati; Pseudomonadota; Betaproteobacteria; Neisseriales; Neisseriaceae
Also listed under: 1 other name
Description: SAM-I-IV sequence
Rfam family: SAM-I/IV (S-adenosyl methionine) riboswitch aptamer
About the family: It is found upstream of a number of genes which code for proteins involved in methionine or cysteine biosynthesis. It has been found mostly in the order Actinomycetales.
Source: RNAcentral
GCCCUGCAUUAAGAGUUGGAACUUCCAUGCCAACCUGCUGUUGUACAGUAAGGUGGACGGUUUAACAAACCGAUGUGGCUUUGGGUUUUUAUCCCAAGCAAUCCAAACCCGCUUAA